AUGGCGGCCGCCGGGAAGGUGAUCAAGUGCAGAGCGGCGGUGGCAUGGGAGGCCGGGAAGCCUACGAUCAAGGAGGUGGAGGUGGCGCCGCCACAGGCCAUGGGGAUGUGAGUCAAGAUCCUCUACACUGUCCUCUGCCACACUGACGUCUACUUCUGGGAAGCCAAGGGCCAAACUCCGGUUUUCCCUAGGAUCUUAGGCCAUGAAGCUGGAGGCAUUGUUGAGAGCGUUGGAGAGGGUGUUACUGAGCUCGUGUUGGGUGACCAUGUCCUCCCUGUGUUCACCAGCGAGUGCGAGUGUGCCCACUGUAAAUCAAAGGAGAGCAACCUUUGUGACCUCCUCAGGAUCAACGUGGAUCGUGGCGUGAUGAUCGGUGAUGGGGAGUCUCGCUUCACCAUUAAUGGGAAACCGAUCUUCCACUUCGUUGGGACCUCCACCUUCAGUGAGUACACCGUGAUCCAUGUCGGGUGCCUCGCAAAGAUCAACCCCGAGGCGCCCCUUGACAAAGUUUGUGUUCUCAGCUGUGGCAUCUCAACUGGACUUGGUGCUACUCUCAAUGUCGCGAAACCGAAAAAGGGUGACGACCCAAGACGUUUUUGUUCUACGCCAUGUUUGAUCAAGCCAUGGAAGGGGCCAAGAUGGCUUGGGUAGUCAAGGAUCAUUGGUGUGGAUUUGAACCCUGCAAAAUACGAACAAGCUAAGAAAUUUGGAUGCACCGACUUUGUGAACCCAAAGGACCACACCAAGCCCGUGCAAGAGGUGCUUGUCGAGAUGACCAAUGGCGGAGUUGACCGUGUGGUUGAGUGCACUGGCCACAUCGACGCCAUGAUCGCCGCCUUCGAAUGUGUCCAUGAUGGGUGGGGCGUGGCGGUGCUGGUGGGUGUCCCGCACAAGGAGGCGGUGUUCCACCCGAUGAACUUCGUCAAUGAAAGGACCCUGAAGGGCACCUUCGGCAACUACAAACCACACACCGACCACCGGGAAGUCGUCGAGAUGUACAUGAGGAAGGAGCUGGAGCUGGAAAAGUUCAUCACGCACAGCGUGCCCUUCUCCCAGAUCAACAUGGCGUUCGACCUCAUGCUCAAGGGGGAGGGCCUGCGCUGCGUCAUGAGGAUGACGAGCAAAUCGCCUCUUAGUCGUCAUGUGUCUUGCCGUUUUAAGAUUUGGAGCUGGAGAAGUUGCCGCCUGACGAGGAAUCAGAGCUGUCUGUCCGUAACAUUUUGGAACCAUUGA
Molecule: ribosomal RNA, 1233 nt
Filed under: Triticum aestivum (bread wheat)
Lineage: Eukaryota; Viridiplantae; Streptophyta; Magnoliopsida; Poales; Poaceae
Description: partial small subunit ribosomal RNA
Source: RNAcentral